ACUUAAGCAUAUCAAUAAGCGGAGGAAAAGAAACCAACAGGGAUUGCCUCAGUAACGGCGAGUGAAGCGGCAACAGCUCAAAUUUUAAAGCUGGCGUCCUCGACGUCCGCGUUGUAAUUUGGAGAGGCACCUUCGGUUUGGGCGCCGGCUUAUGUUCCUUGGAACAGGACGUCACAGAGGGUGAGAAUCCCGUGCCGUCGGCUGUCCCAUUCCACGUGAAGUGUCUUCGACGAGUCGAGUUGUUUGGGAAUGCAGCUCAAAAUGGGUGGUAAAUUUCAUCUAAAGCUAAAUAUUGGUGGGAGACCGAUAGCGCACAAGUAGAGUGAUCGAAAGAUGAAAAGCACUUUGAAAAUAGAGUUAAAAAGCACGUGAAAUUGUUGAAAGGGAAGCGCUUGAGACCAGACUCGGCUUCGGACGAUCAGCCUCCCUUCUGGGCGGUGCACUCGUCUUUGGUCGGGCCAGCAUCGGUUGAGACGGCGGGACAAGGGCUUCGGGAAUGUGGCUCCUCUCGGGGAGUGUUAUAGCCCGUGGUGCAAUGCCGCCCGCCUCGACCGAGGACCGCGCUUCGGCUAGGAUGCUGGCGUAAUGGUCUUCAGCGACCCGUCUUGAAACACGGACCAAGGAGUCUAACAUCUAUGCGAGUGUUUGGGUGUCAAACCCUUGCGCGGAAUGAAAGUGAACGGGGGUGGGAACCCGCAAGGGCGCACCAUCGACCGGUCCUGAUGUCUUCGGAUGGAUCUGAGUAGGAGCAUAGCUGUUGGGACCCGAAAGAUGGUGAACUAUGCCUGAAUAGGGUGAAGCCAGAGGAAACUCUGGUGGAGGCUCGCAGCGGUUCUGACGUGCAAAUCGAUCGUCGAAUUUGGGUAUAGGGGCGAAAGACUAAUCGAACCAUCUAGUACUGGUUCUGCCGAAGUUCCCUC
This 920-nucleotide ribosomal RNA is filed under the name Leucangium carthusianum. RNAcentral's name for it is "eukaryotic LSU rRNA". It matches the Rfam family "Eukaryotic large subunit ribosomal RNA", at positions 32 to 974 of the family's 3401-position model. The record is from RNAcentral. Lineage: Eukaryota; Fungi; Ascomycota; Pezizomycetes; Pezizales; Morchellaceae.